GGCCGAGUGGCGGAACUGGCAUACGCGAGGGACUUAAAAUCCCUUGGGGUUUACGCCCCUUACGGGUUCGAAUCCCGUCUCGGCUACAA
RNAcentral lists this transfer RNA (89 nucleotides) under Planctomycetota bacterium. RNAcentral's name for it is "Planctomycetes bacterium tRNA-Leu". It matches the Rfam family "tRNA". From Rfam's summary of the family: Transfer RNA (tRNA) molecules are approximately 80 nucleotides in length. Their secondary structure includes four short double-helical elements and three loops (D, anti-codon, and T loops). Further hydrogen bonds mediate the characteristic L-shaped molecular structure. tRNAs have two regions of fundamental functional importance: the anti-codon, which is responsible for specific mRNA codon recognition, and the 3' end, to which the tRNAs corresponding amino acid is attached (by aminoacyl-tRNA synthetases). tRNAs cope with the degeneracy of the genetic code in two manners: having more than one tRNA (with a specific anti-codon) for a particular amino acid; and 'wobble' base-pairing, i.e. permitting non-standard base-pairing at the 3rd anti-codon position. Lineage: Bacteria; Pseudomonadati; Planctomycetota. The record is from RNAcentral.